ACCUUUGUGGUGUAGUUGGUAGCGCCUUGACUUACUAAUUAUAAGUCCUAGGUUCAAGUCCCGGUUAGGGUA
Molecule: non-coding RNA, 72 nt
Organism: Halocaridina rubra (Hawaiian volcano shrimp)
Lineage: Eukaryota; Metazoa; Arthropoda; Malacostraca; Decapoda; Atyidae
Source: the annotation of a GenBank genome assembly